This 378-nucleotide ribosomal RNA is filed under the name uncultured bacterium. RNAcentral describes it as "bacterial SSU rRNA". It matches the Rfam family "Bacterial small subunit ribosomal RNA", at positions 521 to 896 of the family's 1533-position model. The record is from RNAcentral.
UAAUACGUAGGGGGCGAGCGUUGUCCGGAUUUACUGGGCGUAAAGAGCGCGUAGGCGGUUGGGUAGGUUGGUUGUGAAAGGUGCGGGCUUAACCCGCAUAGGUCAACCAAAACCGUCCGACUCGGAGGACAGUAGAGGAAGGUGGAAUUCCGGGUGUAGUGGUGAAAUGCGUAGAGAUCCGGAGGAACACCGGCGGCGAAGGCGGCCUUCUGGGCUGGCCCUGACGCUGAGGCGCGAAAGCGUGGGGAGCGAACUGAAUUAGAUACUCAGGUAGUCCACGCCCUCAAUCAUGGACACUAGGUGUGGGGGGUAUCGACCCCUCCCGUGCCGGAGCUAACGCAGUAAGUGUCCCGCCUGGGGAGUACGGCCGCAAGGCUA